UGAAAUGGCACUGUUGAAUUACACCAUCAUC
RNAcentral lists this non-coding RNA (31 nucleotides) under Mus musculus (house mouse). Lineage: Eukaryota; Metazoa; Chordata; Mammalia; Rodentia; Muridae. The record is from RNAcentral.